RNAcentral lists this ribosomal RNA (259 nucleotides) under uncultured bacterium. Its description in RNAcentral is "partial small subunit ribosomal RNA". It matches the Rfam family "Bacterial small subunit ribosomal RNA", at positions 26 to 285 of the family's 1533-position model. The record is from RNAcentral.
AGAAUCAACGCUGGCGGCGUGCCUAACACAUGCAAGUCGAACGAGAAAGUGGAGCAAUCCAUGAGUAAAGUGGCGACCGGGUGAGUAACACGUGACUAACCUACCUUCGAGUGGGGGAUAACCUCGGGAAACCGGGGCUAAUACCGCAUAAAAUCUUUGGAUCGGAAGAACUGGAGAUCAAUGGAGCAAUUCGCUUGAAGAGGGGGUCGCGGCUGAUUAGCUAGUUGGCGGGUAAUGGCCCACAAGGCUUUGAUCGGUA